Molecule: small nucleolar RNA, 138 nt
Filed under: Ornithorhynchus anatinus (platypus)
Lineage: Eukaryota; Metazoa; Chordata; Mammalia; Monotremata; Ornithorhynchidae
Source: RNAcentral
UCCCUCUCAGGAUCACAGCUGGGGAGUUUCCAGUACACUACCAGUCAAGGCUACAGGAGGGAGAGUCAAGCAGAGGCCUACUCAUUCCAUUCCUAGCUUGGCCAGUGGCUAGUGACUGGAAGGCCAUCUGCUACAAGU